Molecule: long non-coding RNA, 5286 nt
Filed under: Brassica napus (rape)
Lineage: Eukaryota; Viridiplantae; Streptophyta; Magnoliopsida; Brassicales; Brassicaceae
Description: long non-coding RNA (BNAP_LNC022308)
Source: RNAcentral
UUCGGUUAAACGUAGUAAUGGGUUCGCCCGAAAUGAUAUCCCAGGGUUAUGUAGAGAAAACACCCUUGAUAGUGCUUAGCACUAGCCCAAGACCGUAAUACCCCGAAAACCCGAAAGAACCAAGAGAAUUUCUAAGUACGAAGAAUAAUAUGGAAAAACUCUCAAAAGAUUUAAAGAACUUUGAGUAGAACACUCUUUCCUUAAGAAAAACUUUCUUAUUAUUACACUUGUUCAACUUCUUGUGUUAUUACAAAUGAAAGGAUGAAAAAGUAUUUAUAGCCUUCUAAACUAUCUUACAAAUAUCUAGAUUAUUCUACUAUAACCUCCCUACCUCCUAGAUUUUUUUCUCUUAUUCUCUAGAUUUUUCUACUACAAUAUCUAGAUUUUUUCUUCUUGAGAAGGUGAUGAUAAUUCUAGAAAGAUUCUAGAAUUUGAGCUUAAUUUUCGGUUUAGUUCAAUAAGAGUUUAUUGCCCCAUAAUUAAGCAUGACCCAAAAUCAAGUUUAACUUCAAUACUCCCCCUUAAACUUGAUUUUAUCCACCAUUCCGAGCUUGGAGCGGAGUAUCUCGAACUAACCUUUAGGUAAUGACUUGGUGAAGAUAUCAGCAAUGUUGUCCUCGCUUCGAACCUCCAAUGCUUCAAUUGUUCCAUCAAGCACCUUCUCUCUUAUGAAAUGAUGUUCCAAUUCAAUGUGCUUCGUCCUUCCAUGGAACACUGGAUUAUUGGCCAGCUUGAUGGCACUUUGAUUAUCUCCGUAGAUGGUAACCGAUUUAUUUAUUGGCUCAAACAAGUCUUCAAGGAGUCUUCGAAGCCAUAUACAUUCUUGGGCUGCGAGUGUUGAAGCUUUAUACUCUGCUUCGGUAGUGGACAAGGACACCGUUGCUUGUUUCUUGCUGCACCAUGAAAUGCUUGUGUCUCCACAUAAGAACACAAAACCCGAAGUUGAUUUUUGAUCAUCUAAAUCUCCACCAAAGUCAGCAUCUGUGAAACCAUGAAGAGAAACCUUGGCAUUAUACUUGUACAUCAGUCCCAUGCCAAGUGUUGUCUUCACAUACUUCAAUAUCUUCUUUGCUGCUUCUAGAUGUGGCUUCCUUGGUUCCUGCAUAAACCGGCUUACAAGACCAACCGCAAAGGCAAUAUCUGGUCUUGUAAUGGUUAAGUAUAAAAGACUUCCAACAAGAGAGCGAUAAGGUCGAGGAUUGGCUAACAAGGAUCCUUCAUCGCGUUUGAGCCUUAUGUUAGUAUCCAGUGGAGUAGAACGUACCUUUCCUUGGUGUACUCCAAACCUGUCAACAAUCCUUUUUGCAUAACCUUGUUGGCCGAUGAAUAUUCCAUCCUUUACCCUCUCGACCUCUAGACCAAGAAAGUGAUUCAGCUCGCCUAACUUCUUCAUCUCAAACCUCACCGACAUAUCCUCUUGUAGACGAGCAAUUUCAGCAUCGUCAUUUCCAGUAAUGAUCAUAUCAUCCACGUAGAGGAGAACUACUACAUGAACUCUUCCACUUCUCUUGAAGAAUAGACUUGGAUCAGCACUUGAUGCCAUAUACCCGCAAAACUGAAGAAAUUGAGCAAGCUUUCCAUACCAAUCUCGUGGAGCUUGUUUUAAUCCAUACAAGGCUUUCUUUAGCUUGCACACAUGGUUAGGAUACUCUUAUGACUCAAAACCAGGUGGUUGCUCCAUAAAAAUUUCCUUAUCAAGCUCACCAUAGAGAAAACCAUUCUUCACAUCUAACUGCCAUAAUUUCCAUAUAAGGCUUGCAGCUAGUGAUAAGAGUGAGCGUACCGUAGUCAUCUUUGCUACUGGACUAAAGGUCUCAUCAUAAUCUUCUCCGUACUUCUGAGAAAAUCCUCGAGCAACCAACCUUGCUUUGUAUCUAUCAAUGCUCCCAUCCGCCUUUCUCUUUAGUCGAUAUACCCAUUUACAAGAAACAUGUUGAGCAUCCUUUGGUUUCGGAACCAAAUCCCAUGUUUCAUUUUUCAUGAGAGCAUCAAUCUCCUCCUUCAUUGCGGUUACCCACUCCUCAACUCCUUUUGCUUCUUCAUAAGAUGAUGGCUCUUCUUCAUCCAGAGGAACUGCAAAGUAACGAGAGUAAGUGGUGACGAACCUUUCAUCUCUAAACCGAGCGGGUUUGACAAUGUUCCUUUUUGGUCGUUGAUUGGCGACAUAACCAUGAUCAUGCUCCUCUUCUUCAUCUUGGUCAAAGCUCCCCCUUUCACCUUGAGUCUCCAUUUCAAAGAUUUCAUUAUUACUUGGAACUUGAAUAAUUUGUUCAUCAGUCUUGGAGGAACCUGAACCAUCUAGCUCAUCUAAGACUUGAUGUGGUCCAUAGUAGGAUGAAACUUCGUCAAAGACAACAUCACAAGACACUGUGUAUUUAUGUGUCUCUGGAUCCAUACACCUCCAUCCCUUCCGUUGUUCAUCAUAACCGACAAAGAUACACUUCCUUGCCUUUGCUUCCAACUUUGUUCUUUGAGAGUCGAACACAUGGACGUAACAGACUGAUCCAAAUAUUCUGAGAUGCUUCACCGUUGGCUUCUUCCCGUGAAUCAUCUCGUAAGGCGACUUCAUGUUAUUUGGACUGAGUGGCAUCCGGUUGAUGACAUAAGCUGCACAUCUCAUGCCUUCUGCCCAUAAGGCCUUACGCAAAUUCUUGUCAUGUAGCCAGCUUCUGCACGUCUCGGUUAGAUGUCUAAUCUUUCUUUCUGCUACUCCAUUUUGUUGAGGUGUAUACGGGCAUGUAUAUUCUCUCUUAAUACCAUUCUUUUGGCAAAAAGAGAGGAACUCCUUUGACAUAAAUUCUCCUCCAUUAUCCGUCCUUAGAGUCUUUAGUUUUCGACCAAUCUCUCCUUCCACGGUAACCUUGAAUUCUUGAAAUCUUUGAAAUACUUCUGAUUUUUCCUUCACAAAGUAUACCCAAGUGUACCGUGAGAAAUCAUCUACGAACAGCAACAUGUAGCGAAACCCGGAAUAGGAGGAUGUUCUUGUUGGACCCAUCAAAUCACUAUGGACCUUCUCCAAUGGACCGUUGCACCUUGAGGUUGAAUGAUCAAAUGGAAGUCUAUGUGACUUUCCAUAUUGACAACCUUCACAAAUUUUUCCUCCAUCUUGAAUCUUCAAUUUUGGAAGCCCAUGAACCAAAUCUUUAUUCACCAUGACCUUAAGCUUGGUCAUAUUUAUAUGGCCAAGUCUAGCAUGCCAGAUGGAAGCAUUGUCAUUCGUACUCAUCUUCUCCACAUAGGCGUGUGAGGCCGAUAAAACAUAUAAAUCUUUGACGCGUGCUCCAGUGUGAACAACAUCCGCCUUUAAUUCUUUAAUAUUCCUUAAGAACUUAACGUCUCUUGGGCCAAAUAGAACAUAAUUACCUGAGUCGACCGCAUUCACCACCGAAAGAAGAUUCUUCUUUACUCCAGGGACAUGGUACACAUUCUUGAGGGUGAUCGGUUCUUCAUCAUCUCCUUUAAUGACAACAGUCCCUUCUUUCUCAACUCGAUGGAUUGAAUUAUCAGCGGUAAUAAUAGCUUCUUUCCCGUCAUGACGUUGAAGACUAGAAAAUAACUUCUCAUCUCCGGUAAUAUGAUGGCUACAACCCGAGUCUACAAUCCAAUCAUUUCUCAAGUUCUUAGUUGUGGGUGUACCUGGAUGUGUAGCCUCCACCGUGAAACAUUUCCCCCAUUCUUCGUCUUCCGUAUUACUUUUUGACUCCACCAUAUUUGUUUCCUUCAACUUGACUCGACAAUCCCUUUUGAAAUGCCCAAGCUUUCCACACCGGUAGCACUUGAACUUUUUCUUAUCCAUAGAAGAUCUUUCACUUCCAUCAUUGUAUCUUGAACCUUCAUCUUUGUUUUUCGCCUUGAAGCUUUGUUGUCUCCGAGCUACAAAGGCGCUUCCCGAGUCAUCAUUGAUUUUGACUCAUGACAUUUGCAUGGCUAAUGACUCUUGCGAAGCUAGCAAAUUUUCAAACUCUUCCAAGGAAGGUUGUGUAGCCCAUCCUUAAACCGAAGUCACAAACAGUGUAUACUCAGGCCGUAGACCUCGAAUGAUAGACCGCUUCAACCGUGCUUCAGAAAUUGACUCCUCCAGAUUUAGAGUAUUUAUCUCAGAGCAUAGGUUCUUUACCUUGAUAAAAAAACUCCGAGAUUGAAGACUCCCCCUGCUUCGCAUUCGCAAGCUCAUUUUCCAAUAAUUGUAGCUUGGCCUCAUUCUUCUUGUUGAACAAUUGAUCUAAAGCUUGCCAAAUGGAACUAGCGGAAGUACACCUUGAGACAUGCUCAAAUAUGCUUGAAGAUAUGAACCUCUUCAAAGCAAACUCCGCCUUGGCAUUCUUUCGUGUCCACUCCUUUGUCGCUUCCGGGGUUGCAGCAUUUUCCCUUGGUGGUGUUGUGUUGUUACCACUGACGACGUCCCAUAAGUCCUCACUCACCAGGUAUGACUCCAUGCAUGACUUCCAUAACCGGUAGUUAGAUUGGUUUAGGAUUUCCAUUCCUAAUCCAACAACACGACCUGUUGAUUCCAUACUUAGAAUAGACCCGAGCUCUCUUUAAAAACCGAUCUUGAUGAGCACAAGAUUACCUUGGCUCUGAUACCAUGUAGAGAAAACACCCUUGAUUGUGCUUAGCACUAGCCCAAGACCGUAAUACCCGAGAACCCGAAAGAACCAAGAGAGUUUCUAAGUAUGAAGAAUAAUAUGGAAGAACUCUCAAAAGAUUUAGAGAACUUUGAGUAGAUUACUCUUUUCUUAAGAAAAACUUUCUUAUUAUUACACUUGUUCAACUUCUUGUGUUAUUACAAAUGAAAGGAUGAAGAGGUAUUUAUAGCCUUCUAAGCUAUCUUACAAAUAUCUAGAUUAUUCUACUAUAACCUCUUUACUUCCUAGAUUUUUUUCUCUUAUUCUCUAGAUUUUUCUACUACAAUAUCUAGAUUUUUUUCUUCUUGAGGAGGUGAUGAUAAUUCUAGAAAGAUUCUAGAAUUUGAGCUUAAUUUUGGGUUUAGUCCAAUAAGAGUUUAUUGUCCCAUAAUUAAGCAUGACCCAAAAUCAAGUUUAACUUCAAUAGGUUCUCCGUUUGCCACACGAUCGAUGUAAGGCUUAACAUCUUCAUAGCACACCACUGGUACGUUCUUCUUGAACAGCUCUUUGUCGGAGCUCCCCUCGAGAAAACGGCUGAGGUACUCUGUGUUUGCGUUAGAUUUAAGUAUCUUGGUCAAUACAUCAUCUUGUAUUUGCUUCGCAUUUGACGUUAGCUCUUCCAGAAUAGAGAGAUCACAGCCUUGACUCAUAUUUGUUCUUU